UGGGAGAUAUUGCACAAUGGGCGAAAGCCUGAUGCAGCGACGCCGCGUGGGGGAUGAAGGCUUUCGGGUUGUAAACCUCUUUCGCUAUCGAACAAGGCCCGCUUAGGGUGGGUUGAGGGUAGGUGGAGAAGAAGCGCCGGCUAACUACGUGCCAGCAGCCGCGGUAAUACGUAGGGCGCGAGCGUUGUCCGGAAUUAUUGGGCGUAAAGGGCUUGUAGGCGGCUUGUUGCGCCUGCUGUGAAAACGCGGGGCUUAACUUCGCGCGUGCAGUGGGUACGGGCAGGCUUGCUUGUGGUAGGGGUGACUGGAAUUCCAGGUGUAGCGGUGGAAUGCGCAGAUAUCUGGAGGAACACCGAUGGCGAAGGCAGGUCACUGGGCCAUUACUGACGCUGAGGAGCGAAAGCAUGGGUAGCGAACAGG
Molecule: ribosomal RNA, 420 nt
Filed under: bacterium
Lineage: Bacteria
Description: partial 16S ribosomal RNA
Rfam family: Bacterial small subunit ribosomal RNA
Source: RNAcentral